This 935-nucleotide long non-coding RNA is filed under the name Heterocephalus glaber (naked mole-rat). RNAcentral describes it as "lncRNA (ENSHGLG00000045060.1)". Lineage: Eukaryota; Metazoa; Chordata; Mammalia; Rodentia; Bathyergidae. The record is from RNAcentral.
CCCAAGAAAGCUCACAUACCUAAAAUGAUUCUAUAUUUAUUCACCGCUGUCACCUUUCUUCUGUCUUAGAAAUCUCAGGUCUCUUUGGUUGAGCCCUGUCAGAGGAAAUCAGCCUUUGACUGGCAAAUGCCUGUGAUGCUGCUCACAUUCUGUGGAUGGUUGAGGAGCGACUCAGUAGGAUCUGGACACAGCACAGGCAGGCUGAGGUGUUCUACUUUUCCAAAGUGAAAGGCAUUGGGUACAGAGUUUCAUUUUCCUUCUCAACUACUAACUGUGUGACUGCAACUGAAAAAGACUCCAGAUGACUGUUUUAGUGACCAUUUUAAAUGAAAAUAUCACCAGAUUUUAAUGGUUAUCUUUCAACUCAAAAAUGGAGUAGCAAUUUUCAAAUUCUUCUCAUCCCAGUAGUAAAUGAUUCUGCAUAAAAAUGAUGAAAGCAUCGGCGUAUUCAAACUCCAGUUUCAAAGCAAGGAUAUCAGAUAAAUGGCUCAAACAUGUAGGAGCAGUGCCACUGAGCUAAAGCCCCAGUCGUGAUAAUCACUGUAAACAUCAGGGACAUCAGAAGAAAUGAGAGAGAUGGACAAGAGAAAGAGUAGAUACAAACAAGGAAGAAAAGAAAGGUAGUACAUAUAAACAGAAGAAAGAUGAACUUUGAAGGACUGGACAUUUUUCAGGACUUCCAAUGAUUAAGAAAGAAUUAUUCCAACAAUUGCUCAUUGCUCAAUAAGUGGCUGGCACUAACUUCAGAGAAGCCAUACAUAGGAAAUAUCUGUCAUUGAGGCCAGGGUUUUGUUCCUGGGUCAUAGUGAGAUCUGGUGCUAACAAAGGUUCAGGUGUUGGGUAUUUUGCCUCAGCAACCCAGAAAAUAACUAAGACAACUUCCAACACAAAAGCUCCCUUAAUUGAGAAAAAGUGGAUCUGCGACCCAUUUUGUA